UAACGGGAACCCUCGGACACCCUCAGUGAAAUGCUCGCAAUUUGAUCAAGUUUGAUGCUGUUUAUCACAUUUUUAGUGCAUAGAGAAUAGUUUGACAAGCAUCAGCUCUCCUGCCGCACGUCUAAAGACUCCGCCGUCAGCCAAUGGCCCGCGUGGACCGCGGCGCAGGCAUCGGCAACCGCGGCCACGGCAUUGAGCUCGACGAGAACGCCUCGGACGAGUCCGACUUUUUCCUGGUGCAGACCGGACGCGGCGACAGCACCAUUCACAAGAUUCGGCCGGCCGGCUUCGCCACGGUGCCGGCCGGCGGCGCGCCGCUCAGGGAGGCGCUGCCGCACCCGGGCCGCAACAGCUCGCCCUCCUUCUCCAACACGGGCACGGUGCCGGCAGCGCCGCCGCCGCCCUCCAGCGUCACCCGGAAACGGAAAAUCGAAAAGGAGGAGAAGGACAGUGCCGAGCGCGAGGGUCGCAAGACGCGCACCGACCAGCACCACGGCGGCGCCGGCCACGGCGUGCCGAUGGUGUUCGAAAAACAGUAUCUGCGCGUCGAGCACUCGCCUGUCGACGGGGACAAGAUCGCGCACUGGCAGGGCGGCGCAGAUGUGGACCAGGGCCUGGCCGCCGACUUCGACGACUCCCUCUCCGGCCUGGGCGUCAACCUGUCGUCCACCACGUACAACAUGAGCGAGGCUCUGCUGGCGCUGCCCAACAUAUCAAACAUGUCCACACUGCUCAAGAAUGAGGCCGCUUCAUUGCCAUCCGAUUCAAACUCGCUGCACCAGAACAUCGGCGAGACGCUGUCGCCGUCGCUGCUGACGGACGUCUCCAGCGCCGAGGACAUCGCCGGCGGCGACGGCGCCUCGCCCGGCCGCCCGGCCGCCGCCGUGGUCGUCGCCGACUCCCAGAAGCGUCAGCAUCACAGGUUUCAGUACGUCCUGAACGCGGCCACCUCGAUCGCCACCAAGGUCAACGAAGAGACGCUGACCUACCUCAACCAGGGACAGAGCUACGAAAUCCGCAUCAAAAAGCUGGGUGACCUCACCUCCUGCAGCGACGCCAUUUUUCGGACAAAGUUGAAGCUGUGUUUCCAUGAGCGGCGACUGCAAUACAUCGAGAAGGAGCAGCUGGACGCGUGGAGGACCUCUCGGCCCGGCGACCGGCUGCUCGAGGUCGACCUGCCCCUGUCCUACGGCAUUUUUGACGUGCGGCAGGAUCGGAACCAGCUCAACUGCUGCGAGUUCCUCUGGAGCCCCAACAAGGACGUGGGUGUCUACGUCAAGGUCCAUUCUGUGAGUACAGAGUUCACGCCCAAGAAGCAUGGUGGCGAGAAGGGCGUACCGUUCCGGAUUCAGGCCGAGACCUACAGCGGCGCCGACUCUUUCGGCGCCCUGCUGCACUGCGCCGCCUCGCAGGUCAAAGUGUUCAAGCUCAAGGGCGCCGACCGCAAGCACAAACAGGACCGUGAGCGGUUCAUGAAGCGGCCCGCCUCCGAGAUGGGCAAGUACCAGCCGUCCUACGACUGCACGGUGCUGACGGAGAUGCCUGUGGAGCUGGUGUACAGUCCGCAGCUGCCGCCCACCUCGGCCGGCCCGAGCAAGGCGCCGCCGCCGGCGCCGGCGCCGGCGGUGUCCUCCGCCCGGCUGCCCAACGUGUCGCCGCCGCCGCCGGCCGUCUCUGUGGCCGCCGCCGUCACGCCCGCCGCCUGCGCGGAGGUCGAGUACAAGCAGCAGUGGUCCCAGCCCAGCUCCAGCCCCACCGACAGCAUGAACGAGGACGAGGGCCCCCAGAGGAGCGGCGCCGCCGGCACGGAGGUGCCCAUGUCGGACGUGCUGUCGGCGCGCGCUACCGCCGAGCAGACGCACGCUUGGCUGCAGCGGCGCCGGUUCGGGCCGCACGCCACCGCUCUCUGCAACUUCACCGGCGCCGACCUGAUGCGGCUCUCGCGCGACGACGUGGUGCAGCUGUGCGGCCUGGCCGACGGUGUGCGGCUCUACAACAGCCUGCACAACAAGCUGAUCGUGCCGCGGCUGACGGUGUACGUGUGCGUGCCGCCGGCGCCGCUCUACCACGCCUUCUACCUGUACCAGACCACCCACUCGGAGAUCAGCCGCAAGCUGGCUGCCCUGCUGGGCUGCAGCUCGUCCCAGCUGCGCCAGGUGUGCGUCGAGGGGCCGGGCGGCGUGCCCGUGCUGAUGACAGACGAGGUGGUGAGGCAUCUUCAGAACGAAUCUCUGUAUAUGAUUGAAACUAUACCCGUGUCUCAGGAGAGCAGCGACCGGCUGGACCUGGUGCUGCACCGAACUGUGACGCGCAGUCCGCCGCCCAGCACCGGCGGCGGCGGCGGCGGUGGACCCUCUGCCGCCAGCUCGCCUCUCAGCAGGCAAUAACUGGCGCACGGCGGGCUGGCCCCCGCACACAAACACAAACACGUACACACACUCACACAUUGCUGCUGGCGGAGCGUCCCGGCGUCCCGGCGCGGCGCGUCUCACCGUCUGUCUGUCCGCGCUGCGCGGCACACCGGAUAGUGAAGACCAGGGAGGUGGGGCCGCACUGUGGCCGCCUACUGGAGGAGCAGACACCUAUUUUGAACCGUGACACGGGUCGGAAGCAGGUACCGGAAUGAGCGAGAGGCGACUCACAGUACCCUGACGUCAGAUGAACCGGUUAAAGGGAACUAGUCACUCAAAAGGAAGGAAUCUUAGUUGAGCGAACAUCGUUGCAUUUACUUUGGUGAAUCCCCAUUUUGAAAGAAAUGUAUUUUCUUUUCUAUCUGAAACACAUUUUUGAGUUAGAGUAGCGAAGCAGCGCGGGUCCAACUAUUGGUAUAUCAGAGCUACUAGCGACGAGUUUCACUAGAGCGUUGGGCUUUGCUUGCCUUACGUACGCCUCUGGAGCGCCGCAGGCCAGAGCUGACCCCGGCUGGUCUCAUUCCGUGCCGUAUUAAUCUAGUGUCGACAGUGGAUUGACCGAUUGCGAGCUGUGUCCUCGACUGUGACUGGAUAAAAACAUCAUCAUUGAUAGCAUUGUGCAUGUCGCAGUUAUGAAAAUACAUUGUCGAUUAAUGUAGCUUCAGAGUUCAGACGCGGUCAUUUGGCGGCAUCAGUUCAUUAUACAGAAUUUCAUGUAGUUUGCAUCAUGGACGUGAUCCUGAGAUAGUGACUAGUUUCCUUUAACUCUGGGGGCUGGCGUCGUUGCUUGGCUGCAGAGCUACUGAUGUAUGAAUACAGUCUUGGGUGGCUAGCUUCUGAUAUCGGCUAGCACCGGUCUGGAGGCGGCUAGCACCGGUGUUCAGACAGCUGGUGUCAGCCUGAGGGCGGUCAGCGGUGGUCUGAGAACGGCUGGUGUCAGCCUGAGGGCGGUCAGCGGUGGUCUGAGAACGGCUGGCGUCAUCCCGAGGGCGGCUGGCGUCAGCCUGAGACAGCAGCUGGCGUCAUCCCGAGGGCGGCUGACGCCAUCCUGGGACAGCAGCUGGCGUCAGCCCGAGGGCGGCUGGUGUCAGCCCGAGGGCGGCUGGUGUCAUCCCGAGGGCGGUCGGCGGUGGCGGGUCUGUCCCGGGGCAGAGGCGACCGGCGCAGUCCCGGGGCAGAGGCGACCGGCGCAGUCCCGGGCGCGCGCACCAGGCAGCGGUGUGCCGUGGGACGCGGCGGCAGGGGAGGCGGCUCGCUCGCACCGGGGGGACGGGGAGAUCGGGGUGCCGUGGAGCACCCCUGGCUGUGUGGUUGCGAGGCUGUUGGGUGUGCGCGGGCGGUCCAGUCUGCCGGGUGCGGAGUGGACCGGCCGUGAGAGCUCCGGCGCGCCUACACAGGGCCAUACCGGUCGUCUGAGUAUCCCAGGUGACUUCAGUGUGUGUGUGAAAUCAUAUACGUACGAUGUUUGAUGGUGCAGUGUUUGUGUGUGCGAGUGUGGAACAGCGGUUCAUCCGUUUCAUCGGUUCGGCUCACCAACACCGUGUUAGUCGAAAAUGUCAAAACUUGCAGUACAAACAGAGUUUGCGGAAAAAAACGCAACUGCCUACAAAAAGAUACGUUCUUCAAAUAUUUCGCAAUUUGAUGCUAUUUUAGCAGCCUGAGCCAUCGCUUAGUUUUAGGUGUGCUGAUGCUUUGUCAUGUUUGAUGUCAGUAAACGUUCAAAACGAUUGUUGGUAUAUGUUGCCCUUGUCAGGUAGUUUGUAACCGUUGGGGUUUUCGGCAUGCUAGUAUACAUAAUUUUGAUUUGAGUAUUGUUAUACUCGGUAUUUAGCAGUUAAGAUAUGGCUCCAUCGAGGCUUACUUCACGUCAAAAUUGUGAGGAUCGGUUAUUUCAUCCUUGCAAUUUUAUAUCGUGAAGUUGGCUUCGGCUUUCCUGUAUCGUCGCGAAUGUUGCGCUUCAUGUCGUGUGCCAUAUGUUCUGUGCAGAGAUUACUUAUUGGCGUUUUCGUGUUUCGGAUCUCGCGAGCCGGACUCACUCGAAACAGAUUCAUGACGCCGCUUUGACCAACUCGCGGACCCAAUCUACAAAGCGAUUGAAGACUUGUCAGAAUCAUGGCGCCCACUAAGCCCCUCGGGGAAUACAGAUUGAGUGUUUCA
Molecule: unclassified non-coding RNA, 4568 nt
Filed under: Amphibalanus amphitrite
Lineage: Eukaryota; Metazoa; Arthropoda; Thecostraca; Balanomorpha; Balanidae
Description: upstream-binding protein 1-like, transcript variant X4
Source: RNAcentral